GUCGUAACGACACCGAACGUCGAAUUAUGAUUAACUCUAUCGCCCCGCACUGGGACGGUAACCAGGUGUGGUUGAUCACCGCGGGCGGCGCGUUGUUUGCUGCCUGGCCGAUGGUUUACGCUGCGGCGUUCUCCGGUUUCUAUGUGGCGAUGAUCCUGGUGCUGGCGUCUUUGUUCUUCCGUCCGGUCGGUUUUGAUUACCGUUCCAAGAUUGAAGACCCGCGCUGGCGCAACAUGUGGGACUGGGGCGUGUUCAUCGGUAGCUUUGUGCCGCCGCUGGUGAUUGGCGUGGCCUUUGGCAACCUGUUGCAGGGCGUACCGUUCCAUGUAGA
Molecule: unclassified non-coding RNA, 331 nt
Filed under: uncultured fungus
Lineage: Eukaryota; Fungi
Description: partial internal transcribed spacer 1
Source: RNAcentral